This 5628-nucleotide long non-coding RNA is filed under the name Coffea arabica (coffee). RNAcentral describes it as "long non-coding RNA (CARA_LNC000189)". The record is from RNAcentral. Lineage: Eukaryota; Viridiplantae; Streptophyta; Magnoliopsida; Gentianales; Rubiaceae.
GAAGGGAGAGAACCAGUAGGAAUUGGCUUCUAGAUUGGGCGGUGAAUAACACCUGUUAAGAUAGCUGGCCAUUUAUUUGCUAAGUGAGGUGAUGACCGAAUGAGAGGAGCUAAGAAAUUCAUUUGUGCUAGUUGGGCGGUGACCGAGAGGGAAGAAAGCCACAAUCUUUCCUUUUCCUUUGCUUACUAUGAACCGAGAGAGAAACACAAAAAGCCGCUACCAUUUCUCUUCCUACUCACCAAAAGCUGAGAUCCAUUCUUUCCCUGCAAUUUCUAAGCUUUAAUUAGGCAGCAAGGAAACACCGACUCAGUAGUUAGAACAUCGGGUAGGAGCAGAAAAUUGUUUCAGCCAAGAAACUGUGAGAAACUAGUACGUGUCAGUAGCCUUCCAUUUGACCGAGAGGAAGAGUAAAAGAAACAUAAUCUUUCUUUCUUCCUUAACCUAUUAAAACAGAAAAGAAACAACAAGAGAAUUAGGCACUUCCUUCGUCCCUUCAACCGUAAACGUCAACCAAGAAAACAAGGAAACUCUAGCUCAGUUAGCCACGGAUUCGAGAGGGAGAGAGAGCUGAACUUUCCAGUCCACAAACGUGAAGAAACCAGAGGUAGUUAACUACUUUUCUUCUUCAAUUUCCUGCUACUUCUAGUUAGUAAUGUUUUAGGUUGAGUUAUAACCAAGAAAAGAAUCAUCAAAGUCGGAAGUUUGUUUAAAGUUUCUGCAUGUUGUCCAAUAGAAAAGCUGCAAUUUUGGUUCUUUUUAAAAAAAAAAAAAGAAUUUGCUAGAUUAUCAGUAGAAUCCACGCUUUAUGCUCUGUAUAUUCUUAUUUGGUUACGCAUAUAAGUUCUGCGGUGAAAAACUUAACUCUUGUGGCUGGAAUUCUUGUUUGGAGGACUGCAUGGCUGCUGGAAAAUUUCCAACUUGCCCAUGAUGAAUUUUCUGGUUUAAAACUGGAAUUUGAUGAGAAGUUUUUGCUUGAUUUCAAACUUACAUAAUCUUAUUGCAAUGUUUAUGUGAAUGCAUGUCGAAUUUGGUUGAUAUUUGAUGCAUUAAAUGAAAUGUUAGUGAAGAUUUAUGGCCGAAAACUUCAACAUUGAACCUGAGAAUGCUGUUACGUUUUCUUAGACUUCGAUUUCAUCUUAUAACCUGAAAUUUAUGCAUAUAUUGAUCAAAUAACAUCCCUACUCCUCUGUUUUACUCUGUAUAUUGCGAUUGUCCUGAUUUGGGAGGAAAUAACUAAAUCUUAGGAAAGAAAUGAGAGCUGGUCAAGCAUGCGAAGCUGUUGGCAGAUUUGGGUUGAUUGGAUGAAUUCGAUUGUAAUACUGAGUUUUUCUGAAUUUUUUAGCUAAAUAUUAAUAAAAAAAAAACUAUCCAUAACUGAAUGAUAGUAAAAUGUACCUUGAAUUUGAGGAAGUUUAAAGAGGAAAAUAGCAAACAAAAGGAAAAAACUUGACUACCCAUUGCUGGAAAACUGUUUUGAACCAUUCUAAAAUAAGUGCUAAAAUUUUGAGUUUAACUUUGAAUUCUACAAUGGAACUUGAACCAAAACUAACCAAAACCUCCUCAAACUAUUUUAUAACAGUUUUACUUGUGAAAAUUCAUCCAAAAUAUAGGAUAAAAUCAAAGAAGUUCAUAGUAAUACUAAGUUGCCAAUCUCUAGAAAAUUUAUUAAUUUUGAAUUUUGAUUUCUAAAAUGACCUUUAGGACCUAGAUUCCAACUUUUAUAAGAAAAGAUAAGUACUAAGAUUACCUCAAAACAAAAGAAAUAAAAUCUUGGAUCAUACAUAUAGAUAUAUAUAUAUAUAUACACACACACUUUUAGCCAAUUGUGUCAUAUUAAGUUGAAUUUAGUUAAAAGAAUCAAGUAAGUCUAAACAGCUAGAAUAAUCACUUAAACCAUUAAUUUCACCAAGUAUUACAAUUCAACAUCACUUUAAGAAAAUUUUAACAAAUAAUCUAAUAAAUUUACAAAUAUCUCAGGAGUCGAGGGUGAAUCGGAUGAGAGACCGAGCACCGAGAAGUGAAUUUCAACUACUUUGGGUGAGUGUUUCCGAUUUUAUGUGUUCAACUGCUUAUGUGUACUUAAGUGAAAUUGUGUGACAAAUGUACUUAUUAUGAAAUAUUGUUAUGUGAUUCAUUGUAAAAUAUAUCUCAAUUGUCCCUCGCCUUCUAAGUCGAGGGUGUACUUUAUCGCACUCAACUUAGUUAAGCUUGAAGGUUGAUAAUUAAUCAAGUGAUAUUGUAAGUGUGCAUGACUGUAAGCCGUGUAUGUACUUUAUCACACUGGCCAAACUAGGCCCAGAACCCUCUGUUCAACGAACUAUUCGAGCCAGCAAAGGGCUUGGUCGAGUAGGAUGGUAACUUUGGGUAAGUGUUUCGAUAUGCUCGAGUAUUACCACGGAGUAGCAGAUUACUGAUAUUGAUAUGGCCAUCUAAAUGAGGGAAGUGUUUAUUGUUUUGAAGGGUAUAAUGAGGAGUUGAGUGGAGUGUGUAACAUCCUGAAUAUUAGGAGGUUGUUUGUGAAGAAAAUAUUAAAGUGUAUUUCUUUGGGUUUGAUUUAAAACCUAAUUUUGUUUUAAAAGAUUAGAAACCCUAAAAUUGUAGCCAAAAAACCCUAGUUUACUUUUGACUAACCGGUUUUCCUAAAUCUCUCCUAUUUUAAUUGAAACCCUAAUUUUAAUUACUGGAGUUGGAAAAUUCCUCACAUUUUCUUAAAAAUUUCCUUUUAGUUGAAAAUUUUCAUCUAUUAAAGCCCUACUAUCCAAUUAUUCCAUAAUAAGUGCAAAUGAAUCUAGAAAGUAGGGUUUUAUUCCUCGGUUUCAAGUUUGGAGCAAAAUUAGGGUUUUCGCGAUUUUCCGCCGGAUGAAUUUUCGAUACGGAGCAAGGACCAAAUUGGGUGAUUAAAAGUGACUUUUAAGUGAGAAAUAAUAUGUGAGUAGUAGCAAUGAUAUAAGGUUAGUGAAUGGGAAGUAAAAACACUAGUACGUGAGUUUUUAAGAAAAACGGCGCGAACCGGCGGGUCCCGCGCGCUACCGAUUGAACGCACCACUUGACCACCACUUUCUUACCCUACAAGCUCAUUGAUAAUUGAGCAAAAUAUCCUCUCACUACCAGAUAAGUCUGACCGAAAAUUGUGGCUCAAAGGCAAGGAAAGAAAGAGAAAAUUUUGUGGCCAAGAUUAGUCCAAGUGUUGGCAAAAAUUGUGGUCACAAUUAGCCCUAAUCUUCUUACUUCCUUAUAAGACAAACCAAGCUCCAUCUUCCUUCAUUUUUCUGCUAAGGAGCCGAGAGAGAGAGAGAGUAAGAACAAGAGAAAAUUUCUUCAUUUCACCUUCAAAUCCAACAACUUAGUGAGAAAAUAAACAAAGUAAACCGAUUAAACUUGUUCUUGAGUGACUAGGUGGUGAUUUGUGGUAAGUUUUUGGAAGGAGGAAGCUUGGGCUACUCUUUGUGUCCUCUAUUCAAGGUAAGAGAGCUUAUCUUUCUAAGUUUUGCUUUCAAUUUUGUUAAAUUAAGUUUAGUAGUUGAUUAUAGUGGUGGAAUCAUGGAUGAUUAGCAUGUUUUAGAAGUUUUUCCCCAAUUUAUUUGAUGAACUAGGGCUUGUGGAAAUUCUGCCCAAAUUUAUUGUAUGAUGCUUAUAUGUUGAAUUAAGAUUAUAAGAGAGGUUUUGGUAGUGUUUGAAGUGGGAAAUUAAGGAAAGUUCCACUAGAAACAAAAAAUUCCAGAUUUCUGGAAAUUCUUGCUUCCUUUCUGUCCGAAUUUGUAUCUGUGUGUUAGAGGCCGAAUUUGCCUUAGGUCAAAGAAGAAAAGUUGUAUAGAAUGACAUUUUAUAGGUGCCUACAAAAUUUCAGCUCAAUCGGAGCAACGUAGGAUGUGAAAAGUCCAAAAUACCCUUACUGUUUUAAAUAUUUCCCAGCAGUCCGUUUCAUCAGUUAAGUCCAGUUUAUCACGUUUUUUGACUAGGAUCCGUACUGAUUUAGCUCUGGGCCAAAACAUGAAAGUUGUAUUAUUCUUAAUUGGCUUUAAAAUGCAUCUAAAAACACCUAAUUCGGACUUGUGUACACUGAGUUAUGUUCAUUACAGUGUUCUGCGUUUAAACAGCCGACGAAUUGGUUUCUGGUUUAGUAAUUCGAGAAUUUGACUAAGUUACAUUAGGAACUGGACUAAGUGACCUUCAUGAAUAUUGUAGCUCUGUGUCUUAGCUUCGAAACGGCGUAGGUUUCGUUUUAAUCCGAUAAGCGUAGCCUCGGAUAUGUUAUUUCUGCUUUUGUACGUCAAAUCUGUUUUGAACUAAAUUGAAUUUCUGCACUUGUACUUAAUACGAUUCUUGUUAUUAUGAUAUUGUGAGCCUAUGGAACGGCUCUUGACAUGAAUUGCUGAUAUGUAUAAUGUUGGGUUGUGUUUGAGAAAAACAAUGAAGCCUAAAAGGCUGGAAAAUUAGGUAAACACAAAGGGCAUGCUGCCCGAAUUUUUACUCGAGGACUAGAAAACUAUAUUAGCGACUUGAGUGAAGGUUAAGUACUUAUUACUUGAACUAGCGAGAACCUUGGCCACUAUGUUUCUUGAGUGUUAUACGUUAGGACUUGGACGAACUUGUACCCUUGAGAAAUGAAAUAAUGAUUGCUCGAAGUAUGUUUUCCUUGUACUUUCAACUCGCAAGACAAUUUCAAGUAUAAAUAUUACAAAGUUUUACUGUUUAAAAAGGCGAGCAAGUGUUUCACGACUACUGUCCGAGUGAAUUUCAAUUUCUUGAUUCUUAUUGAACGAAACGUCUAAGUUUCGAACUCUAGUCAUGUUUCAAAGUUCUCAAAUUGAGUUUUAUCGCAGAUUUGGACUCCGAACUCGGAGUAUAACCUGAGAGUGACCAGUAAAAGCACUAUAUCUUUUGGUGAGUGCUUUCAAAUACUGAAUUGAACUUGAUACUUGUACUUGAUACGUGCCAAUAUGAUUACAUGCCAUAUGCGUGAAUUGUUAGGGCAAGAGUGUACUUUAUCGCACUUGCCCUUACAUGAUAUAUACUUGUUUAUUGUUGCAAUUGACUUGACAUACUUGUUAUGAUGCGCGCACUUCCUGGAAUUCCAGAAACCCUGUGGCAAGUUACUCUAGUCGAGCCGGCAGGGGCUUGGUCGGUUGGGUAACGAGCCCUGGGUCUCUUGCUUUGUCGAGUGGAGUGAUAUCUCCUCGACUAAUUGGUAUACUCGAGUAUUACCACCCGUGUUUAUUGAGGAUUUUGGGCCCAGUAGGGGGUGUGAAUGGUGGACGGAGAGUAGUGUAAGUGGUGUUCUACUGGAUUGGUUCCUUUACUUGAAAGUUGACGGAGUGUCAACUACUAUGUGAUCAAGCCCUGAUGAUGAAUGGAAGUUGGCUCCUGAGAGCCAUCCGUAUCCUUAUGCUUUGGAAUGAUUAUUGUUUAUUGGAUUAUUGUUUCUUCUGAAAACUUUUACACUCGCUCAUUUUGAGAUUGCUACUUGAAGUGUUAUUGCUCACUUUAUGAACUUUCAUGCUCGUUACUUUGCUAUAUCGAAAACUAGUACUUAUAAAUAAUGGUCAAUUUGCUAUUUGGAACCUCACUGGGCUUUUAGCUCACACCACGCUAUUUGUUUUCCUUACAGGGGUACGAGUGAGCGUGAGA